Bos taurus (domestic cattle) is the source of this 719-nucleotide long non-coding RNA. Lineage: Eukaryota; Metazoa; Chordata; Mammalia; Artiodactyla; Bovidae. The record is from Ensembl.
AGGAAGGGAGAAGCACUGGGCUAUGCAAAACGCACCAAUGCCUGGAAAAUGGGACUCACCUGGGACGCAGUGGUCUCAGGAGUACAUUUAAGCUAGGAAACUUCAGCUGGGAGCAGUGCAGGAGUUGCUUCAGGCUGGACACUCCAUGUUUGAAGUUCUAUAUAUGUUUUAAAAGAUUUCAUUUUUAAAUGUGGACUUGGAGUAUAUUUUUAGAACCUAAAUAAAUCAAUAGAGAGGAGGAGAGGAUGUGAUUAAGAACUCUGAGCUUCUGGAAGCUCAGCGGUAAAGAAUCCACCAGCCAAUGCAGGAGAUGCGGGUUCGAUCCCUGAUCCAGGAAAACCCCACAGACUGUGGAGCAACUAAGCCCAUGUGCCACAAUGGCGCGCAAGCCUGUGCUCUCCAAGAGAAGCCACAAUGAGAGAGCAGCCCCCGCUCGCUGCAACUAGAGAAAAGCCAGCAACGAAGGAAGACCCAGCACAGCCAUUAAAUUAAAAGGGAAAACCCCCCACCCCAAGAAUCCAGACUCUGGACCCAGAUGACUGAACUAUCCCAGCUCAGUCACUUACUAUGAUUUUCCACAGGCCACUUCACUUCUGUGCCUCAUUUUACUUAUUUGUAAAGUGGGAAUAAUAACUGUAUCUCUCUCAUCAGGCUGAGAAAAUUAUGAGUUAAUAUUUUCAUAUAUGUGAAGUGCUUGAAAUAGUACCUGGUACACAGUA